Molecule: unclassified non-coding RNA, 184 nt
Filed under: Nitratireductor aquibiodomus
Lineage: Bacteria; Pseudomonadati; Pseudomonadota; Alphaproteobacteria; Hyphomicrobiales; Phyllobacteriaceae
Description: caulobacter sRNA CC2171
Source: RNAcentral
AACGAACCGAAAGGAGGUGAUCCAAUGUCGAGUGAUUUCCGUUCAAGCGUGGUCUCGAUGGAUUGCCUUCGCGGGGAGCAGUCUUCCCGCUGAAGCGCAUGAAGCGCGGAUGGACUGCCACCGCAGACCAGCCAUGACCGCGUGAGAAUUCGAAAACACGGGGCCGUUCCUUCGGGAACGGCCU